AGCUUUGUGCAGUGGCAGUAUCAUAGCCAAUGAGGUAUAUCCAAGGCGCAAUUUUUGCUAAUUGAAGAGAAUAUAAAUUU
Molecule: non-coding RNA, 80 nt
Organism: Heterocephalus glaber (naked mole-rat)
Lineage: Eukaryota; Metazoa; Chordata; Mammalia; Rodentia; Bathyergidae
Source: Rfam